This 883-nucleotide long non-coding RNA is filed under the name Mus spicilegus (steppe mouse). Its description in RNAcentral is "lncRNA (ENSMSIG00000020438.1)". The record is from RNAcentral. Lineage: Eukaryota; Metazoa; Chordata; Mammalia; Rodentia; Muridae.
UUAGAGGACCGGAUGUCGCCAUAACCGUGUGAUUGUCCCCAGUGUUGUGUCCAAUUUAUAACUCGGGCCGCUAAGUGAGUCAAUACGAACUCUGAGCUUGAGCGUUGCUGAGGAUCUCUUCCAGUGCUUGGAAAUGACGUAAAGGCUUUCUUGGAGCAUCAUUUAGACAAAUUAAGUCAAAUUACCAAAAGCACCUGCUGGGCUCCUGUUAGAUGAUAUCAUGAGUUCUAAAGGAAAGUACGUAGACUUGGACAGACUCAGCUCCACAGCAAAUAACGUUUGAAGGAAAGUUUCAAGAGUGUCUAUAAUUGUACCUUCCUGAAAACAGAAGGUUCUGAAAUCUCCCACAAAACACCUGAUAAAUUUGGGCAUUAUAUUUAGGGAAAACAUUUUGAAGUAUGCAGCAGUGGAAACAACAAAGGACUUAAUGUCAAAAGACCUGCUUCAAGCCUGGUUGAAAUAAUCUUGCUUAUACACUUGGGGACGCUUAUGGAAGUGUUGGGGAGGGUCGAGGACCCCAAAGGGGAUAGGAACUCCACAGGAAGACCAACGGAGCCAACUAACCUGGAGCCCUGGGAGCUCUUAGAGACUGAUCCACCAAACAAAGAGCAUACACGGGCUGCAACAAGGCCCCAGGCACGCAGCUCAGUCUCCAUAAAAGAGCACGCUGUACUUGAAGCUGCGCUUGAAAUGGCAGAUGUUGAAACUCUCACAUUUUAUGAUCCUUCUGAAUGGUCGGCUUCCAGUGGAAGAGCUCCACGCAGCUUCCUUAUAUCUGAUGAUUUGAACACACUGUUCACAUCUGCAGCUCCACUCCACUCCCUGCUACAUUCUGUUCCCUGCUCUAGGAGCCAACGUCUUUAGAUAAAGAACAUAAUCUGUU